UUUUUUAUAUUGGAAUUACAGGCUAUAUUAGAGAAACAGGCUAGACUCACAUGUCCUCAAUUACAUUAAUAGUGAGUGGAGUUAGAUGUGAUUAGACAUGUGUACAAGAUUAGUAGAUAUCAAAGUGAGCAAAGAGCAUGGCAUAAACUGAGUGUAAAGAUAAAACUGUGAUUACUGAAUGACAUGCUAAUUAUGUAUACAGAAGGUUAAACCACUGGAAUAAAGACAAAUUAUAC
Non-coding RNA from Pelobates cultripes (western spadefoot toad), 236 nucleotides. The record is from the annotation of a GenBank genome assembly. NCBI's taxonomy places the organism in Eukaryota, Metazoa, Chordata, Amphibia, Anura, Pelobatidae.